UACGGAGGGUGCGAGCGUUAAUCGGAAUUACUGGGCGUAAAGCGCGCGUAGGUGGCUUGAUAAGCCGGUUGUGAAAGCCCUGGGCUCAACCUGGGAACGGCAUCCGGAACUGUCAAGCUAGAGUGCAGGAGAGGAAGGUAGAAUUUCCGGUGUAGCGGUGAAAUGCGUAGAGAUCGGGAGGAAUACCAGUGGCGAAGGCGGCCUUCUGGACUGACACUGACACUGAGGUGCGAAAGCGUGGGUAGCAAACAGG
This 253-nucleotide ribosomal RNA is filed under the name uncultured bacterium. RNAcentral's name for it is "partial 16S ribosomal RNA". It matches the Rfam family "Bacterial small subunit ribosomal RNA", at positions 524 to 776 of the family's 1533-position model. The record is from RNAcentral.